RNAcentral lists this transfer RNA (71 nucleotides) under Loxodonta africana (African savanna elephant). It matches the Rfam family "tRNA". From Rfam's summary of the family: Transfer RNA (tRNA) molecules are approximately 80 nucleotides in length. The record is from Rfam by way of RNAcentral. Lineage: Eukaryota; Metazoa; Chordata; Mammalia; Proboscidea; Elephantidae.
GCAUUGAUGGUUCAGUGGUAGAAUUCUCGCCUUACACGCAGGAGACCAGGGUUCAAUUCCCAGCCAAUGAA